RNAcentral lists this long non-coding RNA (959 nucleotides) under Homo sapiens (human). RNAcentral describes it as "MIR663A host gene". Lineage: Eukaryota; Metazoa; Chordata; Mammalia; Primates; Hominidae. The record is from RNAcentral.
GGUGGGCUUGGGCUGGUGACGCGUGCGCCGGCCGGCCGCCGAGGGGCUACCGUUCUGCCUCCGACCGGUCGUGUGUGGGUUUACUCGGAGGUGCUUUGCCUCUGAAGAAAAGAGAAAUACUAGGCUUUAGAAUUUCACCAUAUGAAUUUUGGGAGAGAGGAGCACAGUUCAGCCCAUAACUAACACACGACGGAAUGAAGUUGAUAAUAGUGAGACCUUGUUGGUACAAGACUAUGUAACAUAACCUGCGCUUCUCAACAAAGAAUUGCUUUUCUGACUUCUGCACUCAAUAGCAAGACAAAUCUCUCCUCUGCCUUCUCCUUAUCAGACUACUCAACAUGAAGGCAAUAAGAAUGAAGACCUCUAUGUAUAAUAAUUGACUUCCACUUAAUAAAUACCUGAACAGAUGUUGAGUACAAGCUGAUCCACCUACGUUCAACCUGAGAGAGUCCACAUCCACAGACUGUUUCAUUUCCCUUUUUCAAUUUACAUAGAAGCAUAGAUUCUUGCUGGCAUAUACAAAUGCGCCAUUUAAGGCAAUCAAAAAUGGUUCCACAUCUCAUCUGAUUUCCACAAUUGUUGCUGUAACGAUGGACUACUGAGGAGAGAGACAAUUUCUCUGGCACAUCUUCCCACAUUUUAGCAACAUGUUCAUGGAGAGCCAAUAUUCAGUAAUUACAGCCCAAUUCCUCACAAUUUCACAAUUCGCUAACAAUAUGCAUUUUCACAAUGUAAAGCUGAUUUUCCUUUAACCAAAUCAAACAUGAAAAGAUAGCUGCAUGCAAUGGGCAAUCUAGAUCAUUAGAAGAUUGAUGUAAAAUUAGAGGACACUGAGACUGGAAUAGAUUGCAAACUUCAGGGAGCUCAGAAAACUUGUAAACUCUACAUUUUGAGGAAAUAUGUUGUCGAUGCUUUUGCAACUCUAUGCAGUAACUUAACAAAUAAAGCCUUAAAGUAAC